CUAUGGGUUGCAGCAGUGAGGAAUAUUGCACAAUGGGGGGAACCCUGAUGCAGCAACGCCGCGUGGAGGAUGACGCAUUUCGGUGUGUAAACUCCUUUUAUAUGUCAAGAAAAUGACGGUAGCAUAUGAAUAAGCACCGGCUAACUCCGUGCCAGCAGCCGCGGUAAUACGGAGGGUGCAAGCGUUACUCGGAAUCACUGGGCGUAAAGGACGCGUAGGCGGGUUGGAAAGUCAGGUGUGAAAUCCUACAGCUUAACUGUAGAACUGCACUUGAAACUUCUAAUCUAGAGUAUGGGAGGGGGAGAUGGAAUUAGUGGUGUAGGGGUAAAAUCCGUAGAUAUCACUAGGAAUACCUAAAGCGAAGGCGAUCUCCUGGAACAUUACUGACGCUAAGGCGUGAAAGCGUGGGGAGCAAACAGGAUUAGAUACCCCCGUAGUC
Molecule: ribosomal RNA, 439 nt
Filed under: uncultured bacterium
Lineage: Bacteria
Description: partial 16S ribosomal RNA
Rfam family: Bacterial small subunit ribosomal RNA
Source: RNAcentral